RNAcentral lists this ribosomal RNA (2458 nucleotides) under Shigella flexneri. RNAcentral's name for it is "partial 23S ribosomal RNA". It matches the Rfam family "Bacterial large subunit ribosomal RNA", at positions 351 to 2797 of the family's 2925-position model. The record is from RNAcentral. Lineage: Bacteria; Pseudomonadati; Pseudomonadota; Gammaproteobacteria; Enterobacterales; Enterobacteriaceae.
CGUGCGAUACAGGGUGACAGCCCCGUACACAAAAAUGCACAUACUGUGAGCUCGAUGAGUAGGGCGGGACACGUGGUAUCCUGUCUGAAUAUGGGGGGACCAUCCUCCAAGGCUAAAUACUCCUGACUGACCGAUAGUGAACCAGUACCGUGAGGGAAAGGCGAAAAGAACCCCGGCGAGGGGAGUGAAAAAGAACCUGAAACCGUGUACGUACAAGCAGUGGGAGCACGCUUAGGCGUGUGACUGCGUACCUUUUGUAUAAUGGGUCAGCGACUUAUAUUCUGUAGCAAGGUUAACCGAAUAGGGGAGCCGAAGGGAAACCGAGUCUUAACUGGGCGUUAAGUUGCAGGGUAUAGACCCGAAACCCGGUGAUCUAGCCAUGGGCAGGUUGAAGGUUGGGUAACACUAACUGGAGGACCGAACCGACUAAUGUUGAAAAAUUAGCGGAUGACUUGUGGCUGGGGGUGAAAGGCCAAUCAAACCGGGAGAUAGCUGGUUCUCCCCGAAAGCUAUUUAGGUAGCGCCUCGUGAAUUCAUCUCCGGGGGUAGAGCACUGUUUCGGCAAGGGGGUCAUCCCGACUUACCAACCCGAUGCAAACUGCGAAUACCGGAGAAUGUUAUCACGGGAGACACACGGCGGGUGCUAACGUCCGUCGUGAAGAGGGAAACAACCCAGACCGCCAGCUAAGGUCCCAAAGUCAUGGUUAAGUGGGAAACGAUGUGGGAAGGCCCAGACAGCCAGGAUGUUGGCUUAGAAGCAGCCAUCAUUUAAAGAAAGCGUAAUAGCUCACUGGUCGAGUCGGCCUGCGCGGAAGAUGUAACGGGGCUAAACCAUGCACCGAAGCUGCGGCAGCGACGCUUAUGCGUUGUUGGGUAGGGGAGCGUUCUGUAAGCCUGUGAAGGUGUGCUGUGAGGUAUGCUGGAGGUAUCAGAAGUGCGAAUGCUGACAUAAGUAACGAUAAAGCGGGUGAAAAGCCCGCUCGCCGGAAGACCAAGGGUUCCUGUCCAACGUUAAUCGGGGCAGGGUGAGUCGACCCCUAAGGCGAGGCCGAAAGGCGUAGUCGAUGGGAAACAGGUUAAUAUUCCUGUACUUGGUGUUACUGCGAAGGGGGGACGGAGAAGGCUAUGUUGGCCGGGCGACGGUUGUCCCGGUUUAAGCGUGUAGGCUGGUUUUCCAGGCAAAUCCGGAAAAUCAAGGCCGAGGCGUGAUGACGAGGCACUACGGUGCUGAAGCAACAAAUGCCCUGCUUCCAGGAAAAGCCUCUAAGCAUCAGGUAACAUCAAAUCGUACCCCAAACCGACACAGGUGGUCAGGUAGAGAAUACCAAGGCGCUUGAGAGAACUCGGGUGAAGGAACUAGGCAAAAUGGUGCCGUAACUUCGGGAGAAGGCACGCUGAUACGUAGGUGAAGCGACUUGCUCGUGGAGCUGAAAUCAGUCGAAGAUACCAGCUGGCUGCAACUGUUUAUUAAAAACACAGCACUGUGCAAACACGAAAGUGGACGUAUACGGUGUGACGCCUGCCCGGUGCCGGAAGGUUAAUUGAUGGGGUUAGCGCAAGCGAAGCUCUUGAUCGAAGCCCCGGUAAACGGCGGCCGUAACUAUAACGGUCCUAAGGUAGCGAAAUUCCUUGUCGGGUAAGUUCCGACCUGCACGAAUGGCGUAAUGAUGGCCAGGCUGUCUCCACCCGAGACUCAGUGAAAUUGAACUCGCUGUGAAGAUGCAGUGUACCCGCGGCAAGACGGAAAGACCCCGUGAACCUUUACUAUAGCUUGACACUGAACAUUGAGCCUUGAUGUGUAGGAUAGGUGGGAGGCUUUGAAGUGUGGACGCCAGUCUGCAUGGAGCCGACCUUGAAAUACCACCCUUUAAUGUUUGAUGUUCUAACGUGGACCCGUGAUCCGGGUUGCGGACAGUGUCUGGUGGGUAGUUUGACUGGGGCGGUCUCCUCCUAAAGAGUAACGGAGGAGCACGAAGGUUGGCUAAUCCUGGUCGGACAUCAGGAGGUUAGUGCAAUGGCAUAAGCCAGCUUGACUGCGAGCGUGACGGCGCGAGCAGGUGCGAAAGCAGGUCAUAGUGAUCCGGUGGUUCUGAAUGGAAGGGCCAUCGCUCAACGGAUAAAAGGUACUCCGGGGAUAACAGGCUGAUACCGCCCAAGAGUUCAUAUCGACGGCGGUGUUUGGCACCUCGAUGUCGGCUCAUCACAUCCUGGGGCUGAAGUAGGUCCCAAGGGUAUGGCUGUUCGCCAUUUAAAGUGGUACGCGAGCUGGGUUUAGAACGUCGUGAGACAGUUCGGUCCCUAUCUGCCGUGGGCGCUGGAGAACUGAGGGGGGCUGCUCCUAGUACGAGAGGACCGGAGUGGACGCAUCACUGGUGUUCGGGUUGUCAUGCCAAUGGCACUGCCCGGUAGCUAAAUGCGGAAGAGAUAAGUGCUGAAAGCAUCUAAGCACGAAACUUGC